AUGAAGCCAGUGAGAGUGACCCUAGGAUGCUCAUGCUGGCACAUGGUUCAUCGAUCCACUCCUCACUCACAGCAACUUGGCCGGUUGUUGCGCGUUACAUACCAUCACCAGACACCAGCUGUGAUGUGGAGAGAGUUAAGAACAAAACUACUACACGCCUCAUGUGCCGUCCGUCGUGCUCUGAUCACUGUUUGCAAACAGCAGGCAUGGGACGCUGCUGAGUUUGUGCUAGAUCUACCAUGGCGGAGUAGCUGGCUGUACAUUCUCUUCGGAACAGGGGAAACACCGUCUGUCGCACUAGAAAACGGAAUCAUGGACAAAAACCAUGACCAUCAUAUGUGUACCAAUCACUGCCGGUUAAAACAGGCAAGGGCAUCGACCGACGACGACGGUGGCGGCUAG
RNAcentral lists this ribosomal RNA (402 nucleotides) under Triticum aestivum (bread wheat). Its description in RNAcentral is "partial small subunit ribosomal RNA". The record is from RNAcentral. Lineage: Eukaryota; Viridiplantae; Streptophyta; Magnoliopsida; Poales; Poaceae.